This 452-nucleotide ribosomal RNA is filed under the name uncultured bacterium. RNAcentral describes it as "bacterial SSU rRNA". It matches the Rfam family "Bacterial small subunit ribosomal RNA", at positions 340 to 786 of the family's 1533-position model. The record is from RNAcentral.
UACGGGAGGCAGCAGUGGGGAAUAUUGCACAAUGGGCGCAAGCCUGAUGCAGCCAUGCCGCGUGUAUGAAGAAGGCCUUCGGGUUGUAAAGUACUUUCAGCCGUGAGGAAGGUGUUAAGGUUAAUAACCUUAGCAAUUGACGUUAGCGACAGAAGAAGCACCGGCUAACUCCGUGCCAGCAGCCGCGGUAAUACGGAGGGUGCGAGCGUUAAUCGGAAUUACUGGGCGUAAAGGGCACGCAGGCGGUUAAUUAAGUUGGAUGUGAAAUCCCCGGGCUUAACCUGGGAAUGGCAUUCAAGACUGGUUAGCUAGAGUCUUGUAGAGGGGGUAGAAUUCCAUGUGUAGCGGUGAAAUGCGUAGAGAUGUGGAGGAAUACCGGUGGCGAAGGCGGCCCCUGGACAAAGACUGACGCUCAUGUGCGAAAGCGUGGGGAGCAAACAGGAUUAGAUACC